Non-coding RNA from Pelobates cultripes (western spadefoot toad), 380 nucleotides. The record is from the annotation of a GenBank genome assembly. Lineage: Eukaryota; Metazoa; Chordata; Amphibia; Anura; Pelobatidae.
AUCAUUUAGGACAGCUCUCCUCUCGAAUCACUGCAGCUAGGUCAAGCUAUCCAGCAUUGAAACGGCUUGCCUUGGAAGCAGGCCGUGAAUUGUUCAGCCUACAGCCCAGCAAGCAUGAUGCACAUAGUCAAUAAGUGCCCAACAACCUGAACAAACUGUGUGAUCCAACAGGAGAGCUGCCAUAAAGGGGCGAUUGACCAUCCAAGCCAGGUUCUAUCCUGGAUUGAUAAUUCAGCCUUUCGAACUGUAUGCAUUUUAGCAAUAUGUAGAUCUAGUGACGUUUAACUCUAUAAUUUGACGCACACGUUUCAAUUUAAAUAGUACGGAUGUUUCAGAGUUCUGUCUAUUAUGCAGUCUAAACAUUAUGCUUGACUACAAAC